RNAcentral lists this ribosomal RNA (739 nucleotides) under uncultured bacterium. RNAcentral's name for it is "bacterial SSU rRNA". It matches the Rfam family "Bacterial small subunit ribosomal RNA", at positions 28 to 768 of the family's 1533-position model. The record is from RNAcentral.
GAUGAACGCUGGCGGCGUGCUUAACACAUGCAAGUCGAACGGGAAUUACUUUAUUGAAACUUCGGUCGAUUUAAUUUAAUUCUAGUGGCGGACGGGUGAGUAACGCGUGGGUAACCUGCCUUAUACAGGGGGAUAACAGUCAGAAAUGGCUGCUAAUACCGCAUAAGCGCACAGAGCUGCAUGGCUCAGUGUGAAAAACUCCGGUGGUAUAAGAUGGACCCGCGUUGGAUUAGCUAGUUGGUGGGGUAACGGCCCACCAAGGCGACGAUCCAUAGCCGGCCUGAGAGGGUGAACGGCCACAUUGGGACUGAGACACGGCCCAGACUCCUACGGGAGGCAGCAGUGGGGAAUAUUGCACAAUGGGGGAAACCCUGAUGCAGCGACGCCGCGUGAAGGAAGAAGUAUCUCGGUAUGUAAACUUCUAUCAGCAGGGAAGAUAGUGACGGUACCUGACUAAGAAGCCCCGGCUAACUACGUGCCAGCAGCCGCGGUAAUACGUAGGGGGCAAGCGUUAUCCGGAUUUACUGGGUGUAAAGGGAGCGUAGACGGUGUGGCAAGUCUGAUGUGAAAGGCAUGGGCUCAACCUGUGGACUGCAUUGGAAACUGUCAUGCUUGAGUGCCGGAGGGGUAAGCGGAAUUCCUAGUGUAGCGGUGAAAUGCGUAGAUAUUAGGAGGAACACCAGUGGCGAAGGCGGCUUACUGGACGGUAACUGACGUUGAGGCUCGAAAGGGUGGGGAG